This 1775-nucleotide long non-coding RNA is filed under the name Prunus dulcis (almond). RNAcentral's name for it is "sRNA ncRNA". The record is from RNAcentral. Lineage: Eukaryota; Viridiplantae; Streptophyta; Magnoliopsida; Rosales; Rosaceae.
UACUCGGAGGUCUCCGUACCCUGGUCGAUCUUCUUGGUUGUAAUUCGGCCGCUGGCUCUUCAUCGGCUUGUACUUCUAGCCCCUCAUCAGCUACGUCAUCUACUAUACCAUCAGUUGUAUAAUCAUCACUCAUGUCAUCAUCAACUGGUUCAUUUAUAAUAGGAUCACUAGCUAGAUCAUCAGUAUCAUUGAAUUCAUCUCGCCCGUCAUUGUGCUCCAAUGGAGAAGGAACUGGAUCCAAGUUAGCUGGAUAUUCUCUAGGAUUAUUAGGUUUAUCACCUCUUCGAAUGUCUUCAAUGUUCUGAUCUUCAAAGAAGACAACAUCUCUACUUCUAAUAAUCUUUCUAGCUACAGGAUCCCAUAACCUGUAACCGAAUUCUUCAUUCCCAUAUCCCACGAAGAUACAUUCUUUCGACUUUGCGUCGAGCUUGGAUCUCUCGUCUUUAGGAAUAUGAACAAAAGCUCUACAACCAAAAACUUUCAGAUGAUUGUAGGAAACGUCUUUUCCCGACCAGAACUUGUUCGGGACAUCACCAUUCAAAGGUGCUGAAGGAGAAAGGUUGAUUAGAUCAACCGCAGUCAUCAGGGCUUCACCCCAAAAACUUUUGGGCAGCUUGGCAUGAGAUAACAUUGUUCUUAUUCUUUCAACAAUUGUUCUGUUCAUUCUCUCAGCUAUGCCAUUAUGCUGAGGAGUCUUCGGAACAGAUCUUUCAUGCCUGAUUCCGUUACUUCUACAGUAGUUUCUAAACGCCCCCAUAUAUUCUCCUCCAUUAUCGGUGCGAAUACAUUUGAAGCUUCUACCAGUCUCUCGUUCAACGCUAGCAUGAAACUGCUUGAAAACUUCAUACACUUGAUCUUUUGUUCUAAGUGCGUAAGCCCAUACCUUCCUGGAAUGAUCGUCAAUGAAGGUAACAAAAUAUCUUGCACCACCAAGAGUACUAGUGGUCAUAGGACCACAAACAUCAGAAUACACAACAUCCAAUACAUUGGGUUUUCUUUGUGCAUGACCAUGUUGAAACGAAGCUCUAUGCUGCUUUCCAGCCAAGCAAUGCGUGCAUGAUUUUAGAGGCAUGCCUUUCUUCAUCCCAGUCAGUGCCUCUCUUUUGGCUAGAAUUUGCAGCCCUUUCUCGCUCAUGUGACCGAGCCGUUUAUGCCAUAGCUCGAUUGAGUCUUCUGCGAGAGCAUUUACGUACCCAUUACUGACUUUUGCAUGUGUCAUGUAUAAGGUGUUCUCCUUCUUCCCUCGUGCUAGGACAAGAGAGUUCUUGCUGAGUUUCCAUUUCCCUUCAGCAAAGACAUUGGUGUAUCCUUCAUCGUCAAGUAAUCCAGUGGAGAUUAGAUUGAGACGCAUGUCUGGAACAUGUCUCACAUCCUUGAGGACCAAGUGACAACUUGUGUUGGUUUCAAGGGAAAUAUCUCAUCUUCCCACGAUCUUGGACAAUUUGUCAUUUCCCAUCCUCACAUUACCAAAAUCUCCAUUGGUGUAAGAUGUAAAGAAGUCCCUCCGUGAGGUGACAUGAAAUGAUGCACCAGAGUCCACUAUCCAGCAUGUAUCUUGAGAGGACAAAUUAACGAAGCCAUCACCACAUAGAAUAAUUACCUCAUUUCCAUCAGAAGUAGUUGGGGUCGUGUGCUUGGCAUCACUUUUUUCGUUACCUCUAUCUUGCUCUCGUUUAAACAACCUGCACUCUCUUUUCAUGUGGCCUAUCCCGCCACAAUGGUAACAUUCUAGGUCCUUUCUUGUCUUGGACCUUCCUCUCGAGCCAUCUCUUGAC